CGAGGACAUUCUUAUUCAGAACCGAAGCGGCUUAAUCUGAUUUAGCUAAAUUCACUUCCAAAGCCCAUAAGCACUGCAUGGGCACUAAAUCAAGAGGCACUUCAUUAGCCCAAGGGCCUUAACCAAAAGAUGAUGACCCC
Molecule: long non-coding RNA, 140 nt
Organism: Oxyura jamaicensis (ruddy duck)
Lineage: Eukaryota; Metazoa; Chordata; Aves; Anseriformes; Anatidae
Exons: 2
Source: RefSeq, a predicted model, not a curated record